RNAcentral lists this ribosomal RNA (1264 nucleotides) under Comamonas sp. PMP2. Its description in RNAcentral is "bacterial SSU rRNA". It matches the Rfam family "Bacterial small subunit ribosomal RNA", at positions 128 to 1386 of the family's 1533-position model. Lineage: Bacteria; Pseudomonadati; Pseudomonadota; Betaproteobacteria; Burkholderiales; Comamonadaceae. The record is from RNAcentral.
GCCUAAUAUUGGGGGGAUAACUACUCGAAAGAGUAGCUAAUACCGCAUGAUAUCUACGGAUGAAAGCAGGGGACCUUCGGGCCUUGUGCUACUAGAGCGGCUGAUGGCAGAUUAGGUAGUUGGUGGGGUAAAGGCUUACCAAGCCCGUGAUCUGUAGCUGGUCUGAGAGGACGACCAGCCACACUGGGACUGAGACACGGCCCAGACUCCUACCGGAGGCAGCAGUGGGGAAUUUUGGACAAUGGGCGAAAGCCUGAUCCAGCAAUGCCGCGUGCAGGAUGAAGGCCCUCGGGUUGUAAACUGCUUUUGUACGGAACAAAAAACCUGAGGCUAAUAUCCUCGGGUCAUGACGGUACCGUAAGAAUAAGCACCGGCUAACUACGUGCCAGCAGCCGCGGUAAUACAUAUGGUGCAAGCGUUAAUCGGAAUUACUGGGCGUAAAACGUGCGCAGGCGGUUUUGUAAGACAGUGGUGAAAUCCCCGGGCUCAACCUGGGAACUGCCAUUGUGACUGCAAGGCUGUAGUGCGGCAAAGGGGGAUGGAAUUCCGCGUGUAGCAGUGAAAUGCGUAGAUAUGCGGAGGAACACCGAUGGCGAAAGGCAAUCCCCUGGGCCUGCACUGACGCUCAUGCACGAAAGCGUGGGGAGCAAACAGGAUUAGAUACCCUGGUAGUCCACGCCCUAAACGAUGUCAACUGGUUGUUGGGAAUUAACUUUCUCAGUAACGAAGCUAACGCGUGAAGUUGACCGCCUGGGGAGUACGGCCGCAAGGUUAAAACUCAAAGGAAUUGACGGGGACCCGCACAAGCGGUGGAUGAUGUGGUUUAAUUCGAUGCAACGCGAAAAACCUUACCCACCUUUGACAUGGCAGGAACUUACCAGAGAUGGUUUGGUGCUCGAAAGAGAACCUGCACACAGGUGCUGCAUGGCUGUCGUCAGCUCGUGUCGUGAGAUGUUGGGUUAAGUCCCGCAACGAGCGCAACCCUUGCCAUUAGUUGCUACAUUCAGUUGAGCACUCUAAUGGGACUGCCGGUGACAAACCGGAGGAAGGUGGGGAUGACGUCAAGUCCUCAUGGCCCUUAUAGGUGGGGCUACACACGUCAUACAAUGGCUGGUACAAAGGGUUGCCAACCCGCGAGGGGGAGCUAAUCCCAUAAAGCCAGUCGUAGUCCGGAUCGCAGUCUGCAACUCGACUGCGUGAAGUCGGAAUCGCUAGUAAUCGUGGAUCAGAAUGUCACGGUGAAUACGUUCCCGGGUCUUUGUAC